GACGUAGGAGGCGAGCGUUGUCCGGAUUCAUUGGGCGUAAAGAGCACGCAGGCGGUUUGGCAAGUCGGAUGUUAAAACCCGAAGCUCAACUUCGGGCCUGCAUCCGAAACUGCCCGACUAGAGGUAGGUAGGGGAGAUCGGAAUUCCUGGUGUAGCGGUGAAAUGCGCAGAUAUCAGGAGGAACACCGGUGGCGAAGGCGGAUCUCUGGGCCUUACCUGACGCUCAGGUGCGAAAGCUAGGGGAGCAAACAGG
This 253-nucleotide ribosomal RNA is filed under the name uncultured bacterium. RNAcentral's name for it is "partial 16S ribosomal RNA". It matches the Rfam family "Bacterial small subunit ribosomal RNA", at positions 524 to 776 of the family's 1533-position model. The record is from RNAcentral.